RNAcentral lists this long non-coding RNA (1627 nucleotides) under Homo sapiens (human). Its description in RNAcentral is "HSALNT0157562". The record is from RNAcentral. Lineage: Eukaryota; Metazoa; Chordata; Mammalia; Primates; Hominidae.
CACAGAACAUCAUGCGUUUCAGGUGACACAAAUGUUUGCUGACCUGUGGCUAUCCGAGAACACCUGCAGAAGUACUCCCUUCAUGCUGAGCACAGCUUGAGGUCAGUGGCUGAGACUGGCCAGCAAGCACCGCGUUAAGGACACAGGCUGAUCACAAGAGCUAACCUGUCAUGGUUCCACAGCAUCGUGCCUUCCCCUGGUGGCCUCCGAAGCUCAUGCAAGUUUGCAGGAAGAGACAUUCAGAGUGAAAUACGGCCUGAAAAGCCACUCCAAGUUGUAUUAUUUAUGAAACACAACACUCAACACAAGAAGAAACCCAAUACAGCACAUCAUUCUGCCUGCUCCGUGGCUUCUGCUUCUCAAGCGACUUAAAAUGAUUGGUGGGUCAUUAUUUUCUUUUUAAAAGUAUCGGCCAUCAAUGAUUCAAGGCCAGGGUUUGCAUUGUUGCAAGGCUUUUAAAAAGUGACAUAGAUCAUAUCAAUCAGGUUAUAACCAUGAACCUCCCUUGCCACAUGUGUUUCAUGCAUGUUGAAUCAGCAUGCAGCUCAUUGUGUGAGAGCUGGCAUUUGCCAUAGGUCAGGUGCUGUCUGAGCCCUACAGCUGUUACUUCAGGUAAUGCUCGCAAGAGCUCUGUGUGAGGGGAACACUCAUCGGUUCCCACGUUACCAGCAGGCUGAGUCAUGCCCUGUAUCACGGAGCUGGUGCAGCAGACGGCAGUGCCUGAAUUCAAGCCCAGGCUGUCAUUGCAGGGCUGUUUGACCACCUGAAUGCACAACCUCAUGAUAGGACAAGCAUGCACACAAAACAGGAGACAAGACAGCCAACCACGGUGCAGUGGAAGGGCUGCUGUUUUAUUUCAGUUUAUCACAUCUAGUGAUAAGCAUGGUGAACACGUGAGCAAUGCUUUCAGAUUAGAAGCAACUUUGUGCAUAAGCAUCCGUGGCUAUAUGGAAGCCAGGCCACUGCAGACAGAGCAUGCUUGACAGCGAUCUGAUGACCUAGAAACAUUUGCACAAUUCAGAGAGCUAAGGAUUACAUGUGUACUUUGUCUUCAAAGUACACAGUCUCCACCACAUUCAUUCAGCUGCACCCGACUUUCAUCUGUCUGUCUGAUGUAUGUGGCCCCUCAUGUAACAGAGGUGAUCCAAUGUCAGGCUGAAGGGGAAAAAAUAUCUGAUAGGAACAAUUCAUUGAGGUUCCUGGUACCUACUUACUCUUUUUUUUUUUUUUUUUUUUUGAGUCUCACUUUGUCUCCCAGGCUGGAGUGCAGUGGCGUGAUCUCGGCUCACUGCAACCCCCACCUCCCUGGUUCAAGUAAUUCUCCUGCCUCAGCCCCCCGAGUAGCUGAGAUUACAGGAUCCUCUCUCUGGGAGCCCUCAUCUACCUCCAGCUGCAAUCAUCACCACAGGAGUGAGAGAGAGACUUGGACCUGAGCUGGACCCUCCAGCCCUCCUUCGCUGAACUACCUUCCAACCUUAUGUUCCUACUGAUGUUUACCAGGUUAUUCAAUAAAUAUUGUAUGUUCUGUGGCAGUGGCCACCAGUCAUUUUCAAAUACCUGUUUUCCCUUCUUCCUUACCAAAAACACCCAUGGUUUUUAGCUGGACACCUGGUUGCCCAAAAUAAAC